RNAcentral lists this ribosomal RNA (253 nucleotides) under uncultured bacterium. RNAcentral describes it as "partial 16S ribosomal RNA". It matches the Rfam family "Bacterial small subunit ribosomal RNA", at positions 524 to 776 of the family's 1533-position model. The record is from RNAcentral.
UACGUAGGGCGCAAGCGUUGUCCGGAUUCACUGGGUGUAAAGGGUGCGCAGGCGGACUGGCAAGUCAGGGGUGAAAUCUCACAGCUCAACUGUGAAACUGCCUUUGAUACUGCUGGUCUUGAGUCAGGGAGAGGUUGAUGGAAUUCCAGGUGUAGCGGUGAAAUGCGUAGAUAUCUGGAAGAACACCGGUGGCGAAGGCGGGUCUCUGGACAGUUCCUGACGCUGAGGCACGAAGGUCAGGGGAGCAAACGGG